ACUCCUACGGGAGGCAGCAGUGGGGAAUAUUGCACAAUGGGGGAAACCCUGAUGCAGCCAUGCCGCGUGUGUGAAGAAGGCCUUGGGUUGUAAAGCACUUUCAGUAGGGAGGAAGGUAGUGUAGUUAACACCUGCACUAUUUGACGUUACCUACAGAAGAAGCACCGGCUAACUCCGUGCCAGCAGCCGCGGUAAUACGGAGGGUGCGAGCGUUAAUCGGAAUUACUGGGCGUAAAGCGCAUGCAGGCGGCCUGUUAAGUCAGAUGUGAAAGCCCGGGGCUUAACCUCGGAAUUGCAUUUGAAACUGGCAGGCUAGAGUCUUGUAGAGGGGUUAGAAUUUCAGGUGUAGCGGUGAAAUGCGUAGAGAUCUGAAGGAAUACCAGUGGCGAAGGCGGCCCCCUGGACAAAGACUGACGCUCAGAUGCGAAAGCGUGGGAGCAAACAGGAUUAGAUACCCCUGGUAGCGACUGA
RNAcentral lists this ribosomal RNA (471 nucleotides) under uncultured bacterium. RNAcentral's name for it is "bacterial SSU rRNA". It matches the Rfam family "Bacterial small subunit ribosomal RNA", at positions 335 to 803 of the family's 1533-position model. The record is from RNAcentral.